This 596-nucleotide ribosomal RNA is filed under the name uncultured bacterium. RNAcentral describes it as "bacterial SSU rRNA". It matches the Rfam family "Bacterial small subunit ribosomal RNA", at positions 211 to 823 of the family's 1533-position model. The record is from RNAcentral.
UCCGGCGGUACAGGAUGAGUCUGCAUCUGAUUAGCUAGUUGGUGGUGUAAUGGACUACCAAGGCGACGAUCAGUAGCUGGUUUGAGAGGAUGAUCAGCCACAAUGGGACUGAGACACGGCCCAUACUCCUACGGGAGGCAGCAGUAGGGAAUUUUGCGCAAUGGGCGAAAGCCUGACGCAGCAACGCCGCGUGAUCGAAGACGCCCUUCGGGGUGUAAAGAUCUGUCAGUGGGGACGAAACUUGACGGUACCCACAGAGGAAGCACCGGCUAACUCCGUGCCAGCAGCCGCGGUAAUACGGGGGGUACAAGCGUUGUCCGGAAUCAUUGGGCGUAAAGAGUUCGUAGGCGGCACGUAAAGUCUGGUGUUAAAGGCAGAGGCUCAACUUCUGUACGGCACUGGAUACUUGCGAGCUAGAAUGCGGUAGAGGUAAAGGGAAUUCCUGGUGCAGCGGUGAAAUGCUUAGAUAUCAGGAGGAACAUCGGUGGCGUAAGCGCUUUACUGGGCCGUAAUUGACGCUGAGGAACGAAAGCCAGGGUAGCAAAUGGGAUUAGAUACCCCAGUAGUCCUGGCCGUAAACGAUGGAUACUAGGUGU